Molecule: ribosomal RNA, 382 nt
Filed under: uncultured bacterium
Lineage: Bacteria
Description: bacterial SSU rRNA
Rfam family: Bacterial small subunit ribosomal RNA
Source: RNAcentral
UGGGGAAUAUUGGACAAUGGGGGCAACCCUGAUCCAGCAAUGCCGCGUGGGUGAAGAAGGUCUUCGGAUUGUAAAGCCCUUUCGGCGGGGACGAUGAUGACGGUACCCGCAGAAGAAGCCCCGGCUAACUUCGUGCCAGCAGCCGCGGUAAUACGAAGGGGGCUAGCGUUGCUCGGAAUGACUGGGCGUAAAGGGCGCGUAGGCGGUUCACACAGUCAGGCGUGAAAUUCCUGGGCUCAACCUGGGGGCUGCGCUUGCGACGUGUGGGCUGGAGUGCGGAAGAGGGUCGUGGAAUUCCCAGUGUAGAGGUGAAAUUCGUAGAUAUUGGGAAGAACACCGGUGGCGAAGGCGGCGACCUGGUCCGUGACUGACGCUGGAGGCG